GACGAACCGUGCGAACGUUGUUCGGAAUCACUGGGCUUAAAGGGCGCGUAGGCGGAUAUCCAAGUCAGGGGUGAAAUCUUUCAGCUUAACUGGAAAAGUGCCUUUGAUACUGGAUGUCUGGAGUGAGGUAGGGGCAUGCGGAACUUCCGGUGGAGCGGUGAAAUGCGUAGAUAUCGGAAGGAACACCGGUGGCGAAGGCGGCGUGCUGGACCUCAACUGACGCUGAGGCGCGAAAGCCAGGGGAGCAAACGGG
RNAcentral lists this ribosomal RNA (253 nucleotides) under uncultured bacterium. RNAcentral's name for it is "partial 16S ribosomal RNA". It matches the Rfam family "Bacterial small subunit ribosomal RNA", at positions 524 to 776 of the family's 1533-position model. The record is from RNAcentral.